GCGCAGAUAGCCAAGCGGUUUAAGGCGUUCGCCUGCAGAGCGAUUAUUCGGGGGUUCGAAUCCCUCUCUGCGCU
Molecule: transfer RNA, 74 nt
Filed under: Candidatus Woesearchaeota archaeon
Lineage: Archaea; Nanobdellati; Candidatus Woesearchaeota
Description: tRNA-Cys
Rfam family: tRNA
About the family: Transfer RNA (tRNA) molecules are approximately 80 nucleotides in length. Their secondary structure includes four short double-helical elements and three loops (D, anti-codon, and T loops).
Source: RNAcentral